AACGGUCUAUACCUGCGGUACCUGCGGAAGGAUCAUUACAUGAUUUGAGGGGGCUCACGUCCCCUCAUCCAACCCACAAACCCCGAGGAACUUUUAUGUCGAGUGGUUCGGCGCCCUCUUUGAGAGCCGCCCCUCAAACGCAUCGCAGGCUUUUCGUGAAGGUCUGAUGUGUCACAUCGUGAGUAUUAAAACUUUCAACAACGGAUCUCU
This 210-nucleotide unclassified non-coding RNA is filed under the name soil metagenome. RNAcentral's name for it is "partial contains 5.8S ribosomal RNA, internal transcribed spacer 2, and large subunit ribosomal RNA". The record is from RNAcentral.